UACGUAGGGCGCAAGCGUUGUCCGGAAUUAUUGGGCGUAAAGAGCUCGUAGGUGGCUUGUCGCGUCUGUCGUGAAAGCCCAUGGCUUAACUGUGGGUCUGCGGUGGAUACGGGCUGGCUAGAGGUAGGUAGGGGCAAGCGGAAUUCCUGGUGUAGCGGUGAAAUGCGUAGAUAUCUGGAGGAACACCGGUGGCGAAGGCGGCAUCCUGGACCGGUAUUGACGCUGAGGCGCGAAAGCUAGGGGAGCAAACGGG
This 253-nucleotide ribosomal RNA is filed under the name uncultured bacterium. Its description in RNAcentral is "partial 16S ribosomal RNA". It matches the Rfam family "Bacterial small subunit ribosomal RNA", at positions 524 to 776 of the family's 1533-position model. The record is from RNAcentral.